UACGUAGGCAGCGAGCGUUGUUCGGAGUUACUGGGCGUAAAGAGCGUGUAGGCGGUCCGGUAAGUCCGUUGUGAAAGUCAGGGGCUCAACCCUUGAAUGCCGGCGGAUACUGUCGGGCUAGAGUCCGGAAGAGGCGAGUGGAAUUCCCGGUGUAGCGGUGAAAUGCGUAGAGAUCGGGAGGAACACCCGUGGCGAAGGCGGCCAUCUGGACCAGCACUGACGCUGAGGCACGAAAGCGUGGGGAGCAAACAGG
RNAcentral lists this ribosomal RNA (253 nucleotides) under uncultured bacterium. Its description in RNAcentral is "partial 16S ribosomal RNA". It matches the Rfam family "Bacterial small subunit ribosomal RNA", at positions 524 to 776 of the family's 1533-position model. The record is from RNAcentral.